Long non-coding RNA from Helianthus annuus (common sunflower), 876 nucleotides. RefSeq lists it as uncharacterized. The record is from RefSeq and is a predicted model, not a curated record. Lineage: Eukaryota; Viridiplantae; Streptophyta; Magnoliopsida; Asterales; Asteraceae. The transcript has 2 exons.
UUUUAUAACACAUUUAUAUGUCCGACUCUCUCACUCUCAGCUAGCCUUUUCACCAGGGCCACAACCACCAACCCAACACCUCCCACCACCACACCCACUAUUGAAACAACCUGUAACAACCAAACUAUUACCGUCCACCGCCAAUGAAACCCCACCAAAACCCGAACAACAUCUUCAACUUUGCGCCGCAUAUGGUUAGAUCUGAUUGGAUUUCAUGCCAGUUGUAGGCUUUGAAACGAGAAGGAUGGUCAGAUAUGAGAUAUCACAGUUCUUAUCCUGAUUGUAUAAAUCUAAUGCUUCACUGAGUUGAUGCCUAUCGGCUACGGAGAUAGCGUUUCAGCAACGUCAAUGGGUGUUGAUGUCUUCCGACGCGGUGACGGAGAUGAUGUUGUGAAGAAGAAUAACAGUGAUGGGUGGCGAUUAGGUAAGAGAUUUUGUUUUUGUUAGGGUUUCUUCUAUAUCUGCAGAUUAGGUCAGAAUUUAGAGAUUUGGGGGAUUUCUUUCAAUGGCGGGUACAGUGGAUUAGCUUAGACUUUAGAGAUCCUGAAAGUGAUUUUGUUGAACGGUUGUGUUUUUGGGUUGUUUAGGGGAGAUGUAGGAAAGUGAACGUGAAGAUGUUAGAAUCUGGAUUUUGUUGCAGAUUUGAAUGCGAAGCAUAGGGUAAGAUUAGGGAAGUUCAAGAGAGAUCCGGAUUCAAUAGCAAGAGAGGGAGAGAACUUGCAGGCUAUCUAGAGCCCUGAUACUAAAUUAAUCGUUGUUAUUGUAAGUAAGAAAUUGGCAAACCUCUGCAUUGUUUGAUUUUGAUUCACGUGUGGAAUAAUGUAAGUUUUAUACGUUUGCCUAUUCAAUCCAUCUUAUCGGUAGCCAUUUGCAGCA